RNAcentral lists this transfer RNA (71 nucleotides) under Actinophytocola oryzae. It matches the Rfam family "tRNA". From Rfam's summary of the family: Transfer RNA (tRNA) molecules are approximately 80 nucleotides in length. Their secondary structure includes four short double-helical elements and three loops (D, anti-codon, and T loops). Lineage: Bacteria; Bacillati; Actinomycetota; Actinomycetes; Pseudonocardiales; Pseudonocardiaceae. The record is from Rfam by way of RNAcentral.
UCCCCUGUGGUGCAACGGCAGCACGCCCGGCUGUUGACCGGGAAGUCCAGGUUCGAAUCGUGGUGGGAGAG